Molecule: long non-coding RNA, 838 nt
Organism: Lycium barbarum (goji berry)
Lineage: Eukaryota; Viridiplantae; Streptophyta; Magnoliopsida; Solanales; Solanaceae
Exons: 4
Source: RefSeq, a predicted model, not a curated record
CUCUUGUAUUAUAGGUAUGUAUAUUAUGUUGACACCCCUUGUCACAAGCUGAUGGUUUAGCGCAAUGGUUAAGGGGUUGCAAAACUUUCCUAAAAUUGUGUAUUUAAACCUGGGUAGCAACAUAUUUAUAUUUUUUGACACCCCUUAAUAUAUAUCCUGGCUCCACCACUGUUUUCAACAACUUUGAUUCACCUUUGAGCUUCUAUUUAUCAUACGUCUUACAAAGAAAAUGACAUAUUAAUUUUCACUUUUUCAUUCAUUGUUUUUAAUUUUGAUAGCUCCCCUGCAAUAAAAUAGUUGCAACUGUUCUAAAAGGUAUUGUCAUCAAAACAAAUUCCUAAAAGGAAAUUGAUAGGAAGAGACCAAUACUUUUAUUCUUUAAACAAUGUUCGCUCUUUCUAUUCUCAAAGAGGGGACGGAACAUUCGAUAGUGCUUAGAAUGGUAUCCUUAGCUCUGACUGAAGUUAGAACUUACUUUGAGCGUUCCGAGGCUUUAAGGAAGGGAAAAGCUGUAGCGGAGUGAUUCGCGUUGUUCCAGCUCUACGUUUGAGAUUGUGAUCCAAGGACUACUACUCGUCCUCAUAUCUAGCGUUGAGGUCGUUGCUGACAGAUUUAGGGUGAGCUUCUAUCUAUGUCAGGCUGCCCGAAGAUCUUCCUUUUACGAUGUCUAUUUCCUACUCUAGAAAUUGUGGUUUUUUUCGUUUAGACAGAUUUCAUUCCUUAGACAUAUUUUAGAUUAGAGUCUUUGUACCGUGACUUUCGGAUUUAGGGAUUUGUAAUAGUUAGGACUUCCGCAUUUAUUUCCUUAUUUUGAUGGCAUGACUUAUUUUGAUUUUCU